CGGGGAGGGCGCAGCUACACAUGCAGUCGAGCGGAUGACGGGAGCUUGCUCCUUGAUUCAGCGGCGGACGGGUGAGUAAUGCCUAGGAAUCUGCCUGGUAGUGGGGGACAACGUUCCGAAAGGAGCGCUAAUACCGCAUACGUCCUACGGGAGAAAGUGGGGGAUCUUCGGACCUCACGCUAUCAGAUGAGCCUAGGUCGGAUUAGCUAGUUGGUGAGGUAAAGGCUCACCAAGGCGACGAUCCGUAACUGGUCUGAGAGGAUGAUCAGUCACACUGGAACUGAGACACGGUCCAGACUCCUACGGGAGGCAGCAGUGGGGAAUAUUGGACAAUGGGCGAAAGCCUGAUCCAGCCAUGCCGCGUGUGUGAAGAAGGUCUUCGGAUUGUAAAGCACUUUAAGUUGGGAGGAAGGGCAGUAAGUUAAUACCUUGCUGUUUUGACGUUACCGACAGAAUAAGCACCGGCUAACUCUGUGCCAGCAGCCGCGGUAAUACAGAGGGUGCAAGCGUUAAUCGGAAUUACUGGGCGUAAAGCGCGCGUAGGUGGUUCGUUAAGUUGGAUGUGAAAGCCCCGGGCUCAACCUGGGAACUGCAUCCAAAACUGGCGAGCUAGAGUAUGGUAGAGGGUGGGUGGAAUUUCCUGUGUAGCGGUGAAAUGCGUAUAUAUAGGAAGGAACACCAGUGGCGAACGCGACCACCUGGACUGAUACUGACACUGACUGCGAAACCGUGGGGAGCAAACAGGAUUAGAUACCCUGGUAGUCCACUCCGUAACGAUGUCAACUAGCCAUUGGAAUCCUUGAGAUUUUAUGGCGCAGCUAACGCAUUAAGUUGACCGCCUGGGGAGUACGGCCGCAGGGUUAAUACUCAAUGAAUUGACGGGGGCCCGCACAGGCGGUGGGAGCAUGGGGGUUUAAUCUCGAAACCAUCGCGAAUAACCAUAACCAGGCCUUGGACAUGGCAUAGAACUUUCCAGAGAUGGAGUCGGUGCGGUCGUGCA
This 1000-nucleotide ribosomal RNA is filed under the name Pseudomonas sp. RNAcentral describes it as "bacterial SSU rRNA". It matches the Rfam family "Bacterial small subunit ribosomal RNA", at positions 36 to 1026 of the family's 1533-position model. The record is from RNAcentral. Lineage: Bacteria; Pseudomonadati; Pseudomonadota; Gammaproteobacteria; Pseudomonadales; Pseudomonadaceae.